GAAAUUUUCUUACCUUGUACAGUUCAGAUCUCACUUCCACGUGGCACAUUGGCACGUGCAGGAAAGUAGAAUUCAAAAUUGUACUUUUGCAACUGUAUGUAGCCAGGAUAGGGUUUUGCACUUCCAAAACUGUUUAGUGUUUAUUGGUUGACCUUUCCAAGCUCUGAGUGAUCUCAUGACUAGUGAAUUAUCUUGUUGGUUUUAUGAUAUUUAUAAGCGGGAGUAGGAUUCAAUCUUGAUAUAUCAUAUUAUUAAUUAUAACGUUAAGAAAUGGAUUAUAAGUGGGAGUAGGAUUCAAUUUUAUGAUAUUAUGUUUUUGGCACCAAAUAUCAGUUUGUAAAGGCAAUAUUGACAGGUAAAAGAAAAUCAUUAAAAUUGUUUAGGUGGUACAUAAGUUUUCCGAAAAGAAAGAGAAAUUUAGAUUUUUUGCUAAUGGUUUGUGUUCUGUCUUUAUGUAGCCCUGUAUGAAGAUUCAGUUUAGAGUCUCAUCUUUUGCAAUUCACUUACUUGAGAAGGUAACAUAGGAAAUGGUGAAAGGGUGGGAAGCUAAUCUUCUCAUUUGAUGCAACAAAGAAAGCUCGCUUUGGUGUACUCCCACGAUAUGCAAAAGAUGAGCUUCAAAUCAGAUGGUUUGAGCUCCCAAAUUGCUUUAUCUUCCAUAAUGGUACACUUACAAGUUGGGGCAUAGGUUAUUCAAUGGUUCGUACAUUUGGAGUCAGACAUUUCACUUCAAAGCAUCUCCUUAUCCUAGACAGGAUUCUUUACAGCGUGUAGUAAUUUUUCGUGACAUGGGAAAGGUGGGAAGCGCCUUGUUCCUGUGGGUCUAGGAGAUGAUGAUCAAUGCAUUGAGGGAGCUUCACACGCCAUCUCCGCAAAGCUAUAAUUUAAAGUGUUAACCUUUAAUGUCUCUUAUUUUGUGAAUUUGAUUUUGCAAUGAAACAUCU
Magnolia sinica is the source of this 944-nucleotide long non-coding RNA. RefSeq lists it as uncharacterized. Lineage: Eukaryota; Viridiplantae; Streptophyta; Magnoliopsida; Magnoliales; Magnoliaceae. The record is from RefSeq and is a predicted model, not a curated record. The transcript is spliced from 4 exons.